ACCUCAAAUCGGGUGAGACUACCCGCUGAACUUAAGC
RNAcentral lists this ribosomal RNA (37 nucleotides) under Russula sp. Arora11404. RNAcentral describes it as "partial 28S ribosomal RNA". Lineage: Eukaryota; Fungi; Basidiomycota; Agaricomycetes; Russulales; Russulaceae. The record is from RNAcentral.